This is a long non-coding RNA of Ictidomys tridecemlineatus (thirteen-lined ground squirrel), 1642 nucleotides long. RefSeq lists it as uncharacterized. NCBI's taxonomy places the organism in Eukaryota, Metazoa, Chordata, Mammalia, Rodentia, Sciuridae. The record is from RefSeq and is a predicted model, not a curated record.
AAUGCUAACACAAAAUAUUUCAUUCCCUUAUUGAUACAAAUUUCCAAACAAAUUUCUUGGUGAUUUUAGGCAACAGAGCAGCAAUGAAAUGUGCUUGUGUGCUGGUGUGGAUGUGAAAGCUAACUGGAAAUUACUGCAAGUAUGCUGUGAGUGUUACCUCCAAAAGAUGCAACAAGCUACCCAGCCAUCCUUACCACUACAGGUUCCUCCUCUUCCUAACUUGCCACUAAAGGGACUGUGCCAUCCAAGAUCUCCAGACAGUGGGCCUCAACCAUCUUCAAACACAGACUCCGGGCAGCAACCAGAGACUGGAUAACAAGAAAAAGAACUGCUUUUCUCAGUAAGUUGCUAAAGCUGGUCCCCUGUUAGGGGAGACCUUGGGAUUGUUGUUGCAAUAGGCCUACUUUAGUAGUGCUAGAACUUUAUGUAAAUUAUGGGUAUUAAUGCAAGAGGCUCUAGGUUAGAACCCUAAUACUAGGGUUGGGAGGGAUAUCUCAGCCUUAAUUACACAUUAGUUUUUUUUCUCUAUGUUUUGACAGAUACUAGAAUAAAAUAAGCAAAACCAAUAUUAUGGUGAGUAAAAUAUAACACCAGAAAGCCAGGUAUGGUGGUGCACUCUUAUAAUCCCAGCUACUCAGGAGGCUGAGGUAGGAGGAUGACAAGUUGGAAUCCAGCCUGGGCAACUUAGUGAAACCCUGUUUAAAAAAAUAAAUUAAAAAAACAAAACAAAACAACUAUCUGCCAGGAAAUACAUAGCCAGAUCAUUACUGUUUGUUCACAAUCACAUGGAGUAGUUCAAAAAGCAAAUGAACUAUGUAUAGUUCUAUGUGCUUUUACAUAACGCUAAAAUUCUGAUGCGCUAAGAUUGCUACUAAAAAUACAUCUGCCAAAAGGCCCCCUCUUCCCCCCCAAAACCACCCAAGACUUCAAAUUUUAAAAAUCUGCCCAAAGAAAAACAUCUCUGUACUUACAAGGACAAACUUUUGUUGUGUAGAAAAUGGAUUGACUCGACAUGGCUUACUCCCAGCUAAGUGUAUGUCCCUGAAUUACCUAAGAUGAUGGGAGACAGGGGAGGCACCACUACCAGGGACCUCUGCCACCCGUGAAGACCACACUACAUUAUUCAACACAACUAUACAUGUGAGGAUAGGAACAGAGCUAAAAGGAAAGAUAACGGAAGGGUUUUACUGGGAUGUCACUUACUUUUAAAUAGGAUUAUUUUAUCCCAGCAUCAUCUUCCUAGAAAAGUUAGAUUAUUUAUUAGUAGGAGUAUGUGUGGGGUUGUGGGGGGCCUUGUGCAUGCUAGGUAAGCCUCUACCUCUAAGCUACAUGCCCAGAUGAACAUUUAGAUUGAAAAACUACUUUAACACUGAUGAGGAUAAUUUCUAUCUUGGAUUAUGCCAAGAACAAAAUUUAAGGCUCUGCUUGAACAGGAACUAGAAGCCAAACAGUGAGGACACACUUACGGGCCUCUCUAUCAGGUCGAUGCACGGCUGCAGAUCCAGCCCGAAGUCGAUGAAGUUCCACUCGAUGCCCUCGCGCUGGUACUCCUCCUGCUCCAGCACAAACAUGGUGUGGUUGAACAGUUGCUGCAGCUUCUCGUUGGUGUAGUUGAUACACAGUUGUUCAAAGGAGUUCAGCU